UACGUAGGCAGCGAGCGUUGUUCGGAGUUACUGGGCGUAAAGGGUGUGUAGGCGGUUGUUUAAGUUUGGUGUGAAAUCUCCCGGGCUCAACUGGGAGGGUGCGCCGAAUAUGAAUGCUUGGAGUGCGGGAGAGGAGAGUGGAAAUUCCUGGUGUAGCGGGUGAAAAUGCGUAGAUAUCAGGAGGGAACACCCGGUGGUGUAGAGGGCUC
Molecule: ribosomal RNA, 209 nt
Filed under: uncultured bacterium
Lineage: Bacteria
Description: partial 16S ribosomal RNA
Rfam family: Bacterial small subunit ribosomal RNA
Source: RNAcentral